Molecule: ribosomal RNA, 447 nt
Filed under: uncultured prokaryote
Description: bacterial SSU rRNA
Rfam family: Bacterial small subunit ribosomal RNA
Source: RNAcentral
GUUUGAUCCUGGCUCAGGACGAACGCUGGCGGCAUGCCUAACACAUGCAAGUCGAACGGACAUGGCGAGGAUAUAGCGAUAUAUUUUGAGCUAUGUUAGUGGCGAACGGGUGAGUAACACGUGAGCAACCUGCCCUUUACUACGGGAUAACGCUCGUUUGAAACAGGCGCUAACAUACGGUAUAAGACCACACUAUGGCAUCAUAGAGCGGUAAAAGCGAUUUAGCGGUAAAGGAUGGGCUCGCGUCCAAUUAGCUGGUUGGUACGGUAACGGCCUACCAAGGCGACGAUUGGUAGCCGACCUGAGAGGGUGAUCGGCCACACUGGAACUGAGACACGGUNCCAGACUCCUACGGGAGGCAGCAGUGGGGAAUAUUGGGCAAUGGAGGAAACUCUUACCCAGCAAUGCCGCGUGAGCGAAGAAGGUCUUCGGAUUGUAAAGCUCUUU